RNAcentral lists this ribosomal RNA (119 nucleotides) under Pteropus alecto (black flying fox). Lineage: Eukaryota; Metazoa; Chordata; Mammalia; Chiroptera; Pteropodidae. The record is from RNAcentral.
GUGUACAGCCAUGCCACCCUGAAUGUGCCUGAUCUCGUCUGAUCUCAGAAGCUAAGCAGGGUCAGGCCUGGUUAGUACUUCAAUGGGAGAUCGCCUAGAAAUACCAAGUGCUGUAAGCA